This is a non-coding RNA of Doryrhamphus excisus (bluestripe pipefish), 779 nucleotides long. The record is from RefSeq and is a predicted model, not a curated record. NCBI's taxonomy places the organism in Eukaryota, Metazoa, Chordata, Actinopteri, Syngnathiformes, Syngnathidae.
AACACUGUCCAGCCAAUGUUAAUGAGGACUGAUGUAGGAAUCAAAAUUGGAACGUCAAGGUAUACAUUGUAUCAUUCCUUCUUAUAAAUACAUCUGUUGUGUCUUUGUUGAUGAACGGUCAUUAGCUGAGUGGUGUCUUCCCCCACUCAUUGACCAUGUUCCUUAUUUCCUCCUGGACAUCUUCUAAGUGACGGGUCUGUUGGGUCCACCUCAGAAAAAAGCCUGUAAAAAGCCACAAACUCAAGGGGAUAUAGAAUAAUUUAAAAAGAAACAUAGGGUAUGAACUAGUACUGAACUACUGAAAUGCAAAACUUUGUUUUUCACCCGAUGUUAGCAGGGAACUUCAUGGUUCAUGGAGGAUGAUGUAAGACAUUAUGAUGGAUGGAUGAAAUUGUACAAUUAUUGAUUUGUGGAAACAAUGGCUUGUUUUGUUUUCAGAGAGCUACUUGCUAGUUUCCCUCACCAGACCUGACAACACUGAUGCAUCAUCAUCAUCAAACAAGUUGCGGUAUUUUCACAGUCUCUUCCAGCUGCUGUAACAUGAUUUGGAUUCAAACCCGCCACCCAUCAUGCGGGCCUGCUGUGCCUGCUGAGCAUCAAUGUUUCUGAGGAGCACCAGAAGUUGCCGAGGGCUGUCCUCCUGCCGGUCCGAGAAGAGCAGGUGGUGGCCGGUGACACACAGGGUGCCUCUGCUAGGUGGGUGCAGAGGCUGCUGGAGCACAACAUCUUCUACAUUGGCAGUCUUGAUAUGCUCAGAAAACUCCAUUCACCCCAAAUCA